AUGGCAGCGUUCAAUCAGUUCUACAAUUUAGUAGGUAGCAAUUUUGGAGCCCUAAACACUGCGGUGGUGGCAUUAUUGCCCAAAAAGGACGGAGCACUGACUAUCAACGACUACCGGCUAAUCAGUCUCAUCCACUCCAUAGCAAAGUUGAUAUCCAAAGUGCUGUCCCUUAGGCUUGCCAACGUGAUCCACACGCUCAUCUCACCAGCACAGUCAGCAUUUCUUCGGACAAAAUGCAUCCACGAUAGCUUCCUAUACGUUCAAAGCUGCAUCAAGGCCCUACAUAGACGAAAAACACCGGCUCUGCUUCUUAAGUUA
Molecule: ribosomal RNA, 318 nt
Filed under: Triticum aestivum (bread wheat)
Lineage: Eukaryota; Viridiplantae; Streptophyta; Magnoliopsida; Poales; Poaceae
Description: partial small subunit ribosomal RNA
Source: RNAcentral